RNAcentral lists this ribosomal RNA (442 nucleotides) under uncultured bacterium. RNAcentral's name for it is "bacterial SSU rRNA". It matches the Rfam family "Bacterial small subunit ribosomal RNA", at positions 355 to 787 of the family's 1533-position model. The record is from RNAcentral.
UAGGGAAUCUUCCGCAAUGGGCGAAAGCCUGACGGAGCAAUGCCGCGUGAGUGAAGAAGGCCUUCGGGUCGUAAAACUCUGUUAUAAGAGAAGAACAAAUUGUAGAGUAACUGCUACAGUCUUGACGGUAUCUUAUCAGAAAGCCACGGCUAACUACGUGCCAGCAGCCGCGGUAAUACGUAGGUGGCAAGCGUUGUCCGGAUUUAUUGGGCGUAAAGGGAGCGCAGGUGGUUUCUUAAGUCUGAUGUGAAAGCCUUCGGCUUAACCGGAGUAGUGCAUUGGAAACUGGGAGACUUGAGUGCAGAAGAGGAGAGUGGAACUCCAUGUGUAGCGGUGAAAUGCGUAGAUAUAUGGAAGAACACCAGUGGCGAAAGCGGCUCUCUGGUCUGUAACUGACGCUGAGGUUCGAAAGCGUGGGGUAGCAAAGCAGGAUUAGAUACCC